GUGUGUGUGUGUGUGCUGGAGAGUUCACUGUAAGUCUGAUGGGCCAGUGGGCUGUGUGUCAGGGGUCGACUUAUGAGAGCUGCGGUUGUGUCAGGGCACUGUGUGUGAUUGUGUCAGUAUAAUGCUGUGUAUCAGUUGAUUGUGUGUGUCCGUGGGAUGGUGUUGUGUGUCAGCAAGCUACGUUUGUCCCAUAGCGCAGUCAUGUGAUUGUGUGUGGGCACACGAUGUGAUUGUGCGUCCUUGUGCUAUUGUAUGAUGUUCAGGCAUGUUGUGUGCGAAUGUGGUAGUGUCCUUGUGUGCUUGUGUCCAUGGGCUGUUUCGUGCAAUGUGCUGGUGUGCAUGGGUGAGGUGUUGUGUGUCCAUGUGAUUGUGUUUGCGUGACAGUGGGAUUGCAGACGUGUUGGAGUGAGCUUGAAUGUUUAGCGGAAAGGUCUGUGGACAUGCUGUCUUACUGUUGUGUUAGAGUGGUUGUAAGCAUCCGUGUAACAUGGCAUGUCAAUGUGGUUGUGUCACUGUGGUUGUGUAUGUGCAACACUAUGAUUGUGUGUGUCCCACCAACACACACACACAGUGCUGUGUGUGGGUGGGAUUGUGUGUGUGCACAAUGCUGCACGUCCAUGGGAUUUUCUGUGCCACUGUGUCGUGUUGCGUUGUGUGUGGUGGAUAUGUUGUGUGUCACUGUGAUGGUGUGUGCCCAUAUGCUUUGCUGUGAUCGGGGGAAGAUGUGCGAGUGUGUCACAGGUAUUGUACAUCUGGACAAUGCUGUGUAUAGAGGGGUUGUGUAUGUGACACUGUUAUUGUAUCUGAAGUGUGUGUCUGUGGGACUGCAUGCUACUGAGAGUGUGCAUCUGUACAGUGCUAUGUGUUCUUGUGAUUGUGUAUGUCAUUGUAAUUGUGUGUCACUGUGAUUAUAUUUGUCAGGGUGAUGUUGGUGUCCAUGGGACUGUAUGUUCACGAGCCUGUGUGUGUCUGUGCAAUGUUGUGUGUCACUGUGAUUAAGUUGUGAUUCUGUGUGUCACUGUGAUAGCGUGAGUGUCAGGACCAACUGGCUGUGGGAAUAUGAGGUGUCACUGUGAUUGUGUGUGUGUUACUGAUAUUGUGUGUUCCAGGAACAAAAUCAUGGAGAUUGCCUGGGUCUGGGCAACAGUGGGUGUCAGUGUGGUUGUGUGUCGUUGUGAUUGUGUGUCCGGGCUGUGCUGUGUGUCCUGGACCUACAUCUGCGUCCUGAGAUUUUGGGUCGGUGUGAUGCUGUGGGUCUCUGCAUGUUCCUGAGACCGUGUGUGUAUGACACCGUGUGUGUCACUGUGAUUGUGUGUGUGUGGGAAGGGGAAGGCGAUGUUGCGUGUCCCUGGGACAGUGUAAGUGUGUGAGCCACUCUGACUGUGUGGCCGCGUGCUUCGCUGGGUGUCGGGGGAAGGUGCGUCUCCAGGCCUCCUGCCCGAGAACAGCGACGCUGCUUUCUGAUUGGCUGCGGCCUCGCCAGUGAGAAGCUGCGGAAUCCUGCGGUAACUUGGUAACUCGGUAACUCGGCCGCCGCCGCCGCCGCCGCCGCCGCCGCCGCCGCCACCGCCGCCGCCGCCGGGAUGAGCCGAUUGGGAGGGGCCCCGCCCACGUCCCGCAGGGCCCGCCCUGGCGGGCGACCGUAACCCCGAGUGCUCCUCCCCGCGCCCCCUCUUCCCACUGGCUUCCCCCCUACCUGUCUGUACGGUGGUCCUUGACUCCAUCUCCCUCACCUCUGCCUCUGCCUCUGCUUCCCCGUCUCUACCACUCGCCACGACUCUCUCCGCCUCUGAGUCCCCCCUGUUUGUCUCUCCCUAUCUCUGUGUCUCUGCCUGUCUCUUUCUCUUUUUGUCUGUUUCCCAGGUCCCAGCUCUGUCUCUCCAGCAUCUCUCUCUCCUUGAUCUCUCUCUCGCCCCAUCUUUCUCUUCCUGUCUCCGUCUUUCCACCUUUGUCUCUCCAGAGACGUUCUCGGGCUGUCUCUCCUUUUCUCUGUCUCUCUCCCCCUCUCCUCUGUCUCAGUCUCCCCAACUUCGUCUUUCCCACGUCUCGUCUCUCUCUCUCUCUCUCUCUCUCUCUCUCUCUCUCCCUCCCUUCUCCACCCCGCCUCCCAACUCCCACAGCCAAGCUCAGAAUUCACUUUUCAUUCUGCGGAGAGCGCAGGGGACCUUUCGCUACUUCAUCCUCGCCCCUUCCCAAAGGCCCAGGCUCCUGGCAGCAGGCCCCACGCGGGGCAGACCUCAGGAAGGACUUCCCGCCCUGGUUCAGCAGUGGAGUUUUAUCGCUCCGGCCAGGCAGAGGCCGGGCGGCCCCGUGGCUUCCGGAGGCGCCCGGGCGGGAUGAGCUCACUGCAAGUUGGCUUGGAUUUCAUCAGCUUCCUCUGCCGGAGUUGCCCCCGCUCCUCAUCCCGCGCUGGCCGAGUCGGCGAAUCCGCCGGGCUCUGCUGCCCCCGAGCGGCAAGAGGAGGUAGCGCAGGCGCCGUGUAAAAAAUUCCACCUUUGCUGUUCACGAUGUCACCAAUUCAUGAAUGCUGCAAAUACGAACCCAUUUCAAACUCACGAGAGCCCCAUGAGAUAGAGACUAUUUCAAAUCCAAUUUAAAACUGAGAAGCUGAAGUCGGAGACUUGAGGUCAGCCGCCUGAGGUGAAUGGAGUCCUUUGGAGGCUGACGUGGGCAGAGAAGGGAAAUGCUUGUAAUCACCAAGAUAUCUGUGGUCAUUUAUUCUUAUAUUCUUAUAUUCAUUCAUUCAUUCAUUCAUUCAUUCAUCAGAGAUUCGAAUCUCUGGGCCAGGAACUGUUGUAGGCAUCGAGGACACAGCAGUGAACAAAACAAAAAUCUCUGCCUUCCAGAGGCUGUUACUCUGGUCUGGGGGAGACAGAUGCUGAAUAAUAUAAUUAACAAUACAGAGUCUCAAAGUAGAUAAAAGAAGCAGGGAAAGGGGCUCGAGAGUGUUGAGAGUGGUCUUAGUCACUAGGAUGAUCAAGGAAGGUGUUCCUGAGAAAGCGAUGGUUGAGGACGUGCCCAGAGGGGGUGAGGCAGCGAAGAGCGCCCCAGACAGAGGGAAGGGCAGGUGCACCGGUCCUGAAGCCAGAAUGGGCCUGUCCAGGAGAGUGGGUGCGGCUGGAAGGAAGUGAGCAAGGGGAGAGGGUUGGGAGGUGAAUUCCAGUGCAGGAUUAGAUGAUGGUGAGGAUUUUACUACUUACUCUGAGUUGGGUGGGAGCCCCUGGAGAGCCCCUAAGCAGAGGACGCGCGUUCUUAAGCCGCCCUCUGGCGGCCAGGUGGAGUAUAGACUGUGGGCGGAGAGAGCAGAGGGCUACCGUAAUAACCCUGGUUGGUGGGUGGAGAGUGGACCAGAGUGGUUACUGUGGGAUCAGGCUCAUCGCGGAGCCUAUGGGAUUGGCUGAGGCACUGGGGGUGGAUGUGUGGGAAAGAAAGGAGUUUAAGGGGUUCCCGGUUUUGACUUGAGCAGCUAAAAGGAUAAAGGGGCCAUGAUGAUGACAGCGGUAAUAAUAAUAGCAGUUGUAAUAACGCAGUUCUCACUUUCUGUUCACCUAUUAGGUGCCAAGCUCUGUGCCAACGCAAUGCUUUACACACCUGACCUCGUUAAAUCCUUAUGACUAUCCUGAGAGGCACAGGUGGGUGAUGUAUGGUUCUGGAUUUAUUUUGAAAGUAGAAGAGUUCCGGAGUUCCCAUCGUGGUGCAGCAGAAAUGAAUCCAACUAGGAACCAUGAGGUUGCAGGUUCGUUCCCUGGCCUUGCUCAGUGGGUUAAAGAGCUGGCGUUGCUGUGAGGUGUGGUGUAGGUCACAGAUGUGGCCCGGAUCUGGCAUUGCUGUGGUGUAGGCCGACAUCUAUAGCUCCAAUUCGACCCCUAGCCUGGCAACCUCCAUAUGCUGUGGGUGCGGCCCU
RNAcentral lists this long non-coding RNA (3904 nucleotides) under Sus scrofa (pig). RNAcentral's name for it is "lncRNA (ENSSSCG00000063334.1)". Lineage: Eukaryota; Metazoa; Chordata; Mammalia; Artiodactyla; Suidae. The record is from RNAcentral.